CCUACGGGAGGCUGCAGUGGGGAAUAUUGGACAAUGGGGGCAACCCUGAUCCAGCCAUGCCGCGUGUGUGAAGAAGGCCCUCGGGUUGUAAAGCACUUUCAGUGAGGAAGAACGCCUGGUGGUUAAUACCCUUCAGGAAAGACAUCACUCACAGAAGAAGCACCGGCUAACUCCGUGCCAGCAGCCGCGGUAAUACGGAGGGUGCGAGCGUUAAUCGGAAUUACUGGGCGUAAAGCGCGCGUAGGUGGCUUGAUAAGCCGGUUGUGAAAGCCCCGGGCUCAACCUGGGAACGGCAUCCGGAACUGUCAAGCUAGAGUGCAGGAGAGGAAGGUAGAAUUCCCGGUGUAGCGGUGAAAUGCGUAGAGAUCGGGAGGAAUACCAGUGGCGAAGGCGGCCUUCUGGACUGACACUGACACUGAGGUGCGAAAGCGUGGGUAGCAAACAGGAUUAGAUACCCCUGUAGUC
This 465-nucleotide ribosomal RNA is filed under the name Vreelandella stevensii. Its description in RNAcentral is "partial 16S ribosomal RNA". It matches the Rfam family "Bacterial small subunit ribosomal RNA", at positions 338 to 795 of the family's 1533-position model. The record is from RNAcentral. Lineage: Bacteria; Pseudomonadati; Pseudomonadota; Gammaproteobacteria; Oceanospirillales; Halomonadaceae.